AAAUCAUAUGACUCAUUAAUGUGGUGAUUAUGAUAACAUAAGGGAAAAAAAAUGAUGUUACCUUAUUAUUAGUGUUGUCCAAAACUGGUGCCAGAAGACUCGGUAAGACCAGAGACGCAAACGUUAGUCAUCUUUAUCAGGCGUAAAGGGUGUGUAGGCUGCUUUAAAAGUUUAUUUUUUUUAAUAGCUCUGUAACCGUAAGACUAUCUAUUUUAUUUUAUUUUGUUAUAUUUUAUUAUAUAUUGUUGUAGUAUAUAAAAUUUAUAACUAAUAUUUUAAAUUUAGAAAUGAGACGGGGACCAGAAAAAAAAUAAAUGAAUUAAAGCUAGAAUCAAAUGGAGGAUAAACCAAAUAAUACUUAGAGUAGGGGUUAAAUCCGCAGAUACUAAGGGGAAUACUAAAGGUGAAGACUUUUUAUCUAGUAUUGAUUGACGCUGAGAAACGAAGGUGAGAACAGGAAAUAGGAUUUGAUACCCAGAUACCUCUCACUGUCAACGAUGAAUGGUGGUUAGUUAGUUUUAAUAAAAACUGGUAACGAUGUUAACACGAUAACCAUUCCGCCUUGCGAGUACGGUUGCAAAACUGAAACCAAAAAAAUUAGUCGGUUUCGAAGCAAACGAAGUGAGCAUGUUAUUUAAUACGAGAGUACUUGCAUAGCCAGUUUUGUUGUUAGAAGAAUUUUUCUAAUAUCUUUUUACUAAGAAAAACAGAAUUGAGUAAUUUUUAUAAUGUUUAAAAAUUCGAUUACA
RNAcentral lists this ribosomal RNA (749 nucleotides) under Tricholoma imbricatum. Its description in RNAcentral is "partial small subunit ribosomal RNA". It matches the Rfam family "Bacterial small subunit ribosomal RNA", at positions 411 to 1206 of the family's 1533-position model. The record is from RNAcentral. Lineage: Eukaryota; Fungi; Basidiomycota; Agaricomycetes; Agaricales; Tricholomataceae.